GAGUUUGAUCCUGGCUCAGGACGAACGCUGGCGGCGUGCCUAAUACAUGCAAGUCGAGCGAUGACAGAUGGGAGCUUGCUCCCUGAUGUUAGCGGCGGACGGGUGAGUAACACGUGGGUAACCUGCCUGUAAGACUGGGAUAACUCCGGGAAACCGGGGCUAAUACCGGAUGGUUGUUUGAACCGCAUGGUUCAAACAUAAAAGGUGGCUUCGGCUACCACUUACAGAUGGACCCGCGGCGCAUUAGCUAGUUGGUGAGGUAACGGCUCACCAAGGCGACGAUGCGUAGCCGACCUGAGAGGGUGAUCGGCCACACUGGGACUGAGACACGGCCCAGACUCCUACGGGAGGCAGCAGUAGGGAAUCUUCCGCAAUGGACGAAAGUCUGACGGAGCAACGCCGCGUGAGUGAUGAAGGUUUUCGGAUCGUAAAGCUCUGUUGUUAGGGAAGAACAAGUGCCGUUCGAAUAGGGCGGUACCUUGACGGUACCUAACCAGAAAGCCACGGCUAACUACGUGCCAGCAGCCGCGGUAAUACGUAGGUGGCAAGCGUUGUCCGGAAUUAUUGGGCGUAAAGGGCUCGGCAGGCGGUUUCUUAAGUCUGAUGUGAAAGCCCCCGGCUCAACCGGGGAGGGUCAUUGGAAACUGGGGAACUUGAGUGCAGAAGAGGAGAGUGGAAUUCCACGUGUAGCGGUGAAAUGCGUAGAGAUGUGGAGGAACACCAGUGGCGAAGGCGACUCUCUGGUCUGUAACUGACGCUGAGGAGCGAAAGCGUGGGGAGCGAACAGGAUUAGAUACCCUGGUAGUCC
This 808-nucleotide ribosomal RNA is filed under the name Bacillus subtilis. RNAcentral's name for it is "bacterial SSU rRNA". It matches the Rfam family "Bacterial small subunit ribosomal RNA", at positions 9 to 796 of the family's 1533-position model. The record is from RNAcentral. Lineage: Bacteria; Bacillati; Bacillota; Bacilli; Caryophanales; Bacillaceae.